Long non-coding RNA from Papaver somniferum (opium poppy), 1646 nucleotides. RefSeq lists it as uncharacterized. The transcript is spliced from 3 exons. The record is from RefSeq and is a predicted model, not a curated record. NCBI's taxonomy places the organism in Eukaryota, Viridiplantae, Streptophyta, Magnoliopsida, Ranunculales, Papaveraceae.
GAAAGUGAGGAAAAGAAAGAGAGGUUAGAGCACACACAUCUGGUUGAGAGAUUGAGUUCUUUUUUCAGACUUUAGUUAGCAGGGUACUUGGAAUCAUAAUCAUAUAUGGAUAAGUGGAUAGAAGAUGUUUUUGUUGCCAUUCUUUUCUCCUUAUUGGGUGCGGUUGCUGGAUUCUACUUUUUUAUUUUAUGCGUGAUAGUCUUGAAGUGUAUAUGCUGCAUGCGCCGAAGAAUAAUGAAGAUUUUUAAGAAAAAGCCAGAACAAAGCAGCAGUGACAACGGAGGAGGACAUACUGUGGCGCAGGUGGAUGUGGAGAUGGCGGGGAGGAGGGGGGAAGCAUGAUGCUUUAAUUUAGAAGUUGGUUAUUAAGUGAAGAGAAAUGGAACAACAAGUAAAAUAAUUUAAGAGUUAUGUUGAUUUGAAGUGGUUGGUUUGAUUGAGAGAUACAAUCAAACUAUUAAGAGUGUCGCCGCCGCCAACAACUGUGUCCGGUUAAGAUGUUAUUUAUGUACUUAGUAUAUGAGACCUUCCAAGUUUCAGAUGCAUGCGUAUUCAUUCUUCCAUGGAUCUGUCGACAUUAUUUCUAAGUUUUAAGGCAUUUCUAAUUACCGGGGCUCUGGAUCCGAUCAUCCUUUCAAGUGUUUGGGUGAAAAUUUUCUCUUUUCUGCUUGCUUUUUGACCCGGUUGAGUUCUUGAAAAUUCGAAUUCAAGAUAUAAAAAGUUACAAUUCUCCGGCCUGGCCAGAAAACAGUAAAAGCCCGAAUCCCCAGCCCACCCAGCUGAGUCAGCCAGAGAUAGCGGUCCAAAUAAAGUACUAGUAGAAUUUUAAGUUUUUUUUAACACAUUUUUACUGAACUAAAAAUAUUACCAUGACCGAGACUGGCCAAAUUUAAUUAUUGUCAUGGUCAAAAAAAUAAAUACAGAUCAAAUUUGGUGGUCUUGGGUGUUGCCGAUGAGUCACUUCCACAUACAAAAAGAUUGUCGUAUCACCCAUCUGCGCCACACUCAUUGUCAUUGAUCGUUAUAUUUGUUUUUACCUAGUUCUUUUCACCAAACGCAUGUCAGAAGCUUAAAGACCUACAAGCAUAAAUGGAAACUUAUUUGCUGCUGCACCAGGGUUAGAUCUUACCAAAGGAGAGGAUAUUUCAGAUCGUCAGUACUAGGAAGAACAUUCAUACAUGGAUGUUAUGGCGUUUUUUAUCUCCCUCAUCUUGUAUGCGUUUGCUGGAUGCCUCACUGGUUUUUUAUGCGGGAUGUUCAUUGAUUGUAUGCGUUGCAAGUGCCGAAGAAUUAUGAAGAUCUUUAAGAAAAAGCCAGAAGAAAGCAGCGGAGUCAGUGACAACGGAGGACAUACUGUGGUUCAGGUGGAUGUAGAGAUGGUGGCGAGGAGGUCGGAAGCAUCAUGCUUUAGUUAAGAAGUUGACUAGCUAUUAACUGAAGAUAAACACAAUUACAAGUAAAAUAAUUUAGAUUUAAGUGAUGCGAGUUUGAUAGAGUGAUUAGGAGUGCCGGCGACAACUGUGUCUGCUGGUUAAGGUUAAGAUUAUCUUAUGUACUUAGCAGAUGAGUUAUUCCAAGGUAUGGAUGUUCAAAAGGGUUGUUAAAGUUAACGGCCGGGAACUAAUAAACUGAAAGAAACAAAGAAG